RNAcentral lists this ribosomal RNA (222 nucleotides) under uncultured bacterium. RNAcentral's name for it is "partial 16S ribosomal RNA". It matches the Rfam family "Bacterial small subunit ribosomal RNA", at positions 524 to 745 of the family's 1533-position model. The record is from RNAcentral.
GACAGAGGCCCCAAGCGUUAGGCGGAAUCACUGGGCUUAAAGCGUGUGUAGGCGGACGCCUAAGUGUCUUGUGAAAUCCCACGGCUCACCCGUGGAACUGCUGGGCAUACUGGGCGUCUUGGGCCAACUAGGGGCAGCCGGAACAAGCGGUGGAGCGGUGAAAUGCGUAGAUAUCGCUUGGAACGCCGAAGGUGAAAACAGGCUGCUGGGGUUGCGCCGACG